This 1494-nucleotide long non-coding RNA is filed under the name Scleropages formosus (Asian bonytongue). Its description in RNAcentral is "lncRNA (ENSSFOG00015031185.1)". The record is from RNAcentral. Lineage: Eukaryota; Metazoa; Chordata; Actinopteri; Osteoglossiformes; Osteoglossidae.
UGCUGAGAAUAAUGUUUUCAUGUUACUUUUUAACCUUGGUGACCAUUCAAGUGGUAAGAUAAUAAAUAAAUAAUAAGCCCUGUGAAAGGAAAAGCAAUUUCUGUGCUGUCUGAAUAGUCUGCAUUUCGUCAUGCAAUCUCGGAGAUUAAACAUAAUUUAUGGAAGAUAGUUAUCAAAAAUGUCUAAUUAGUUGCCCAUACUGUUCAACUUGCUACCAUUUCUACACACUUAGUGCAAAAUGGUAAAACUUCUUUCUCCAUAUAUUGUAACUGUUUAUGGAAAUGCUACGUCAUGCGGCUACGGAAAAUUGGGACAGCUAUAUAAAAAUAAAAAAAAAGUAGUAACUCGCAGCGGGUCAUUUGAUGUCACUUCCACACCUAAAGAGCACUCCGCGCGCAAUGGCGCUCGUGCAUGACCGAGUUCCCAGUUUCAACCACGGCGACCAUUGUGGCGGUGUUGCAGAACAGGAAUUUCAAAUACCGUGUUUGAACGAAGAAGUAAAGCGUGAAGAAACGCGUCAGAAGCGCGCGCUGAGGACGCGUGACGGGGACAAGGAAGGUGGAAGUGAUGUAGCGUGACGAACAGAGCGCCCGCACACCUGUGGGCUUCCUCGCGCCCUCCUGGAGACAGGAUCGCGAACGCUGAAAGGGCGGUGGGCGGAGCAACGCCGCUCGCGAGCGCCUCGUUCUUCUUCUGUUCGCGAGACGCCGAAGAAGAGGGAUGGCAGCCUGAGGAGAGAGCGCGAGCGAAAGAUCCACCCGGGGACGCGCUCCGCCGAUGGAGACGGGCACGGGGACGGAGACCGGCGGCACGGAGAUGGAGGAAGCGGAGGACGGAAGGACGAAGAGCCGCCAGUGGCGCUCCAAGGCCAGAGAGCAGGUCCACCUGAAGCAGAAGAUCCGCGAGCUGCCGGCGCUGCUCAAGCACGGGCUCACUCUGAGGAAGAGGAGUGUGGAGAACUCAGAAUCCAUUGAAGAUGCAAGUGCGUCCUUUGAUAAACAUAAGGGAUGUUCGGACAGCUUACCCUGUGCUGGGCGGGCUUUGAGGAACGCCUUCCUGUCACAUGGACCCUAUCCUGUUAAAGAUAGAGUCCAGUUUGCAAGGAUCCUCAGGUAACUCCUUCAUGUUUUUGAUGUUUUUGCAUCAGUAUUGAGGGGUGGGGUCAGUCAUACCUUGUCUACCUUGGUGACCUUCCUUUGUGUGGAAUCAGAGACCCAAGUUUGUUUUUUAAAGCAAUCAGCUGGUAUCGCAACAGAAUCUUCUCUUCUAAAUUACCGUAUUAUUUUAAGCAGCUUGUUAUACAAACCUGAUAAAGUUCCAUGGUAAAGAAGUGUUAGUAAUGUAAUAAUAAUCAUCCAUCUCCUUAAGUCUAUAGUCAUUUCAUUUGAAUAUGCAGUGUAGUUGGGGCCUAUAUAACCUAGAUACUGUGACGAUCCAAAGCAGAGGUAGGCCCUUGUUCAGUAACCCCCAUAAAAUAAAAACAUUUCCUGGGUG